This 620-nucleotide ribosomal RNA is filed under the name uncultured eukaryote. Its description in RNAcentral is "SSU rRNA". It matches the Rfam family "Eukaryotic small subunit ribosomal RNA", at positions 585 to 1204 of the family's 1831-position model. The record is from RNAcentral.
CCAGCUCCAAUAGCGUAUAUUAAAGUUGUUGUGGUUAAAAAGCUCGUAGUUGGAUCUCGGCGGACAGAAGUCGGUCCGAAUGCUUUCGGUACUGGCUUGUUUGUCCGUGUGUUUUGCCAGAGGCAGGCGGGUGCUCUUCGCCGAGUGUCCGUCUGUGCUGGCAGGUUUACUUUGAAAAAAUCAGAGUGCUCAAAGCAAGCUCUCACGCUUGAAUAUUCGUGCAUGGAAUAAUAGAAUAGGAUGUCGUUUCUAUUUUGUUGGUUUUCGGAAAUCGACAUAAUGAUUAAUAGGGACAGUCGGGGGCAUUUGUAUUCAAACGACAGAGGUGAAAUUCUUGGACCGUUUGAAGACAAACUACUGCGAAAGCAUUUGCCAAGAAUGUUUUCAUUAAUCAAGAACGAAAGUUAGAGGUUCGAAGGCGAUUAGAUACCGCCCUAGUUCUAACUAUAAACGAUGCCAGCUAGCGAUCUGCAGGCGUUUUACUUUACGACCUUGCAGGGAGCUUCCGGGAAACCAAAGCUUGUGGGUUCCAGGGGAAGUAUGGUUGCAAAGCUGAAACUUAAAGGAAUUGACGGAAGGGCACCACCAGGAGUGGAGCCUGCGGCUUAAUUCGACUCAAC